RNAcentral lists this ribosomal RNA (774 nucleotides) under uncultured Neocallimastigales. RNAcentral's name for it is "partial large subunit ribosomal RNA". It matches the Rfam family "Eukaryotic large subunit ribosomal RNA", at positions 23 to 633 of the family's 3401-position model. Lineage: Eukaryota; Fungi; Neocallimastigomycota; Neocallimastigomycetes; Neocallimastigales. The record is from RNAcentral.
AGAGAGAGACAUGCGCGCAUAUCAAUAAGCGGAGGAAAAGAAACUAACAAGGAUUCCCUUAGUAACGGCGAGUGAAGCGGGAAGAGCUCAAAUUUGAAAUCUUCAAGGUUUUACCUUGACGAAUUGUAGUUUAAAGAAGUGUUUUCUGCUGAAGUUUUGGUAAAAGUUCUUUGGAAUAGGACAUCAUAGAGGGUGAGAAUCCCGUAUUUGACCAUUAUUUUCAGCUUUGUGAUACACUUUCAAAGAGUCGGAUUGUUUGGGAAUGCAGUCCAAAAUGGGUGGUAAAUUUCAUCUAAAGCUAAAUAUUGGCGAGAGACCGAUAGCGAACAAGUACCGUGAGGGAAAGAUGAAAAGAACUUUGAAAAGAGAGUUAAACAGUACGUGAAAUUGUCAAAAGGGAAGCGUUUGACACCAGUGUUGUUUUCUCGAAAAUCAAUUAAAAAUGGCUCGAUUUUGUAUUGUUGAGACCUUAAAAGCUCACUGUACAUUUUUCGUGUCUUUUUUAAUGCACUUUUCGUUUAACAAGGUCAACAUCAGUUUCUUUUGUUGUAAAAGGGUCAUUGGAAGGUGGCUUUCUUUUCGGAGAAAGUGUUUAUAGCCUUUGGCCUCUGCAAUCGGAGAGACUGAGGUCUGCAGCGUAGACUCUUCGGGGUUAGAUACAUUUGUGCUAAGUUAUAGCUUUUUAUAGACAACUUGUUGACUAUAAUUAGUCUUGUAGCUUACUCGCUUAUGCUAUUUUACCUACGCUUAGGAUGUUGAGUCGUAGAGCACGCA